Asparagus officinalis (garden asparagus) is the source of this 1404-nucleotide long non-coding RNA. RefSeq lists it as uncharacterized. The record is from RefSeq and is a predicted model, not a curated record. The transcript is spliced from 8 exons. NCBI's taxonomy places the organism in Eukaryota, Viridiplantae, Streptophyta, Magnoliopsida, Asparagales, Asparagaceae.
AACACAACAAUAAAUACAUCAACUUUCUCCACAAACACCCCUGUCGGAGGUCGUCGCCACACAUGGAAAUCGCCGCCGUCGUAGAGCCCUGUAGUUUGUCGCCGAGGCUCCCUCCUCAUCCUCUCCGCCUCGACCCUCCAAAAGCCCUAAUCCUCCAAACCCUAACAAACCCUCACCUUAACCCUCGUGAUCUCCGGCCACUAUCUCCUGUUCUCAGAACUUCCAACGCCAUUGAUAUCCUCCAAUUUAAGGCCGCCACCUCCAGUGAGGCCGUUGCCUGCGAGAGCUCUCAGAUUCUUUCCCCAAAUCCCUAAUCUGAAACUGUCAGCUAUGCAUCUAUAGUCAGGUGAAGAAUUCAUGUGAAGAAAUUAUCUGCUUGCAUCAUCAAUUUAACGUAUUCAUCAAUUCCAGGAUCUAUAGUUCAAUUCGGGGAUCGACUGAUCUACUGAUCAAUUUGAGGUAUCAUUCACUUAUUAAUCUUUUAUUGGUCUGCUUAUAUGUUCAAUUGUUAUGUAAUCUCAUCAUUAAACUCUUUAAUGAUGGGGGUUCAAUACCUUCAUGAGGCCUUUGCAGGGUGAUCUAAUGCACAUGUGAAAGUGAAGACUUAAAAUGCCUUGGUAUGUCGGUAACAUUCAUCUCCAAGUCACUAAAUCUCUUCUUCAAGAGGUCUUCCAAAGUUGUGGUGUCCUAGAAGGAUAUUUAGGGUAAUUAAGGAAGUAGGUGAUGGGACUUUUGGAAAUGUUUGGCGAGCUAUCGAUAAGCAGAACAGUGAAGUUAAAAUGAAGAAGUAAUAUUCCUGGGAAGAGUACGUGAAUCUUCAAGAAGUAAAGUCUCUGCGUAGGAUGAACUGUCCCAAUAUAGUGAAGCUCAAGGAGAUUAUAAGAGAGAAUGAUAUUUUAUUCUGUCUUUGAAUAUAUGGAAUGCAAUCUCUACCAGCUGAUGAAGGAUAGAGAGAAGCUUUUCGCCGAGUCAGAAAUCAGGAACUGGUGCUUUUAAAUAUUUCAGGCUUUGGCUUAUGUGCACCAGCAUGGCUAUUUCCACCUUGACCUUAAGCCUGCCAGAGAAAAUUUGCUAUGUACAAAAGAUGUCAUCAAACUAGCUGAUUUUGGCCUUGCUCACGUAAUUUCUUCAUAGGCAGCGUACACGGAUUAUGUGCAAAGUUCUCAAAGUCAAAUUAAGCUACAUUAAGGGCUAUGGUUUUGGCCCUAGACCACCACCAUUAAGGUUCUCUCGUUAUUCAAUGAGUGAAAUUUCUGAAAAGAAUAAAGAGUUGCAAGAAUAGCUUCAAGAGACCCAACAACUUGUAGGAACUCAACAACAAAAGAUCGAUGAGCAAAAUGAGGUAAUCUAAAUAUUGGAGGAGCAAGCCAAAAAGUUUGAGGAGUUUAUGGCUAAUUUUUCCAG